This 229-nucleotide long non-coding RNA is filed under the name Lathyrus oleraceus (garden pea). RNAcentral's name for it is "Pisum sativum (pea) long non-coding RNA (PSAT_LNC004558)". Lineage: Eukaryota; Viridiplantae; Streptophyta; Magnoliopsida; Fabales; Fabaceae. The record is from RNAcentral.
CCAUUUCGCGGAAAAUAUUAUCCGUAAUCCCGCGAUCCACUCAUGCGCGUGUUAUUCACUCACCGAUGAUAUCAAUCCAACGGCUGUAUUAAAGGGCCAUUCAUCCCCACAAUCCUUUGUCCAUUUUUUGUUUUGAGGGAAAACGACGCGCAUUAAACAAGUGGGCUCAUGGAUUUUAGAAUUUUGAUAUUUUGGUGCAUGCAAUGCAUUAUCAUCAUCCAUCAUUUUC